This is a long non-coding RNA of Gallus gallus (chicken), 2650 nucleotides long. RefSeq annotates it as protein kinase (cAMP-dependent, catalytic) inhibitor beta. The transcript has 7 exons. The record is from RefSeq and is a predicted model, not a curated record. Lineage: Eukaryota; Metazoa; Chordata; Aves; Galliformes; Phasianidae.
GCCCUCUCUGCCUCUCUGCUCCACCAUCACGCGUGAUGCUCGUGGCCAGGCAGGGACCAGACCCCUCCUGGGGCGGGGGGGGCACAGGAGGAUGCGCUGAUCCUCGGCGGGCAGCAACCAACGGUCCUCACACCGGCAACGGCACCGUGAUCCACGCUGCUGUCGGCACCAGCGUCGGCAUCACUCUUGACAUCGGCACGGACAUCGGCACCGGGUUGGGCACCGACGCCGGUACCUGGAUCAACAGCGGCGUCGCCCGUCUGUGUUGGGAUCGACGACGGCAUCGCGUAUUGGGAUCAACGGCGGCACCGGCAGCCGGGUCAGCACCGGCAUCGCCGUCUCCGUCGGUACCACCAUCGCCAUCGGUACCACCAUCCCCAUCCACAUCCACACCGACAUCGACACCACCGCCGGCCCCCGCGCAGCCCAGAUCACCUUCUUUACAACUGAGACCUGGCGGAAGGGGGAAGCUACAGGAAGACAUUCCUGUCCUCACACUCCAUCCUCCUCUGGACACAUCCUGCAGACAGCAAUUAGAGGUCAUUAGCUGCCUCAGCCAGGGUCGCUCCUCCUGCUCCUGUGGCCGAGGGGACCGUGGCUCACUGUCUGCCCACCAGAGGCUCUGAGGGAAACUCCGGCCGGAGCCGGGGGGCUCCCAGCCCACAGCCUCCGUGAGCAGCACCCAGAGCAGUGAGGAGACGCAGCCAGGCCAGGCUGGAGGGCGCCCGGGUUAGCAUGACCGAGGUGGAGCCGGUGCUGGACUUCGCAUCCUCAGGGAGGACCGGACGCCGCAAUGCCCUGCCUGACAUCCUGGGCUCACCGGCAGGCGUCAGCCCCUCCGACCUGCCCCUCAAGCUGGCCGAGAUGUCCCUGAGCGCAGGCAGCUCCCAGGAGAUGCAGUCACCUUCUGCAGAAGUUCCUCCACCGCAGCCCCAAAGCCCGGAGCUGAAGGACACGUCCUAACCCUGCUGGGGGACUGAGCGGUGGGGUGAGGACGCUGCGGAGCAUCCGCAUCGCUGCCCUUGUGCCAUGCAGCGAGAGCAUCGCCUGCAGGAGAGGAGCCACGCAGGGACCUGUGGGGACAAAGGGACACUUCAUGCCCAUACAGGGCAAGGAUGGGGACGUUCACCCCACAGGAGGACACUUUUCUUCCAGAAGCAAGCGGCCAGGGGGGCUAUGCCAUGAGCAGCCCAGGGGGUCUGAGUGUUGUUCACUGUGAUGUUUUGGGUACCAUGUCCGUGUCCUGUCCUUUUUCCAGUGGGUGAUCCAAGAUCCUUAUUUUUAUUUUUAUUUUUAUUUUUUUGGAGGAAGCAUCAUUGAUGGGUUGGGGAGGAGAACCUCCUCUCAGCCAGCACCUCACCAAGGGUUCACCCCAUAGGGUGAGCACCCCAGAGUUCUCCUUGCAUCAGGGGAGCAGGGAGCUCAGCUGGGAUCGUAUUGCAAAGCCACCCUUGGGGAUGGUGACAUCUCUGCCACUCACAGCUCUGCUGCCCGCUGGAAUAGGACUUACUGCUGGGGACAAAACAUGUGGCUCAGCUCCAGAGCAUGGCCGGGGUGAGCUGCUGGAGGGAUGGAGUGGGGCACAGUGCUCAUAUCUGUCCCUGUUUCUGGGUGGUAACGGAGUGGUCACCCAUAGCUGUCACUGUGGGACCGAUGAAUGGAGUCCUAAGGCCACUCUGCUCUGAGCAGUGCUGGGAGAGGGGAAAAGCUGUGUGGGGUGGGUGGCACUGAGAGCCACAGCGUGUCCAUGGGCACGUGUGGGAGUCGGUGCUGCUGGGGGUGGGUGCUGUGUGCAUGGGUGCUCAUGUGCAGAGGUGUCCGUGCACAUGGGUGUCUGCGUGUGUGAGUGACAGUGUGCAAUAAUGCCCAUGUGCACGGGUGUCCGUGUGCGUGUGUGCCUCUGCGUGUCAGUGUCUGUAUUUGUGGGGGUUGGUGUGUGUGGGUGCUGCUGUGGGUGGGUGUCUGUGUGUGUGCACCUUUCUGCAUCAACAUGCGUGGGUGCCCAUGCACAUGGGUGUCUGUUUGCACGGAUAGCAGUGUGCAAUAACAUCUACAUGUGCGGGUGUCCAUGCAUGUGGGUGUCCGUGUGUGCGGCUGCGUGGAUGCCCAAGUGUGUGGAUGUGGAUAUCCACAUCGAUGGGUCUUCAUGCCCACGGGGGUCACUGUGUGAUAAUGUCCGUGGGCGUGGAUGACCACAUGCACCGGUGCUCAUGUGCGUGGGUGCUGCUGUAGAUGGGUGUCCGUGUCCAUGUGCAUGGAUGCCAGUGUGCAAUAAUACCCAUGUGCGUGGUUGUCCAUGUAUGUGAGUGUUCAUGUGUGUGGGUGUCCAUGUGCAUGGGUUCUCCUGUGGAUGGCUGUCCCAGUGCACAUAUAUUCAUGUGUGUGUGUGUCAAUGUGUGUGCACAUCUGUGUUCCAUGGCCCUGCUGCACCAGGGGGAUGCUGGGAGCCCCAGGGCUGUGCACAUUUGGGACUCUGAUGCCCAAGGAUGGUUCUGGGAGGAGCAGAGACAGGUGACCCCUCCAGGCCACGGCCUGUCCCCACCCUGUGACACCUGGAGGGUGUGUUAAAGGAGCACUGUGCACUCUGGGGGGUAGCUGAGUGACUCCCAGGGCCAUGGUUGGAUAAUAAACUGUGUGUGUUUCCCUGUGA